Electrophorus electricus (electric eel) is the source of this 3178-nucleotide RNA transcript. It is a transcript of the gene named adenosine A2a receptor b, with no coding region annotated. The record is from RefSeq and is a predicted model, not a curated record. Lineage: Eukaryota; Metazoa; Chordata; Actinopteri; Gymnotiformes; Gymnotidae.
CCCCAGGAGCCCCGAGGCCCAGCUAUGAGCCGCGCUGUGAGUCGGCCCAGGCGGACGACCACGGCCCCGACUCGGCCAGCAUGCUGAGCAAGGCCGACGUGGCGUACAUAGCCCUAGAGCUGCUGAUCGCGGUGCUCUCCGUGGCCGGAAAUGUGCUGGUGUGCUGGUCCGUGUGCCUCAACAGUAACCUUCAGAGCAUCACCAACUUCUUCGUGGUGUCAUUGGCGGUGGCCGACAUCGCCGUGGGCCUGCUCGCCAUCCCCUUCGCCAUCACGGUCAGCACGGGCUUCUGCAGCCACUUUCAUGGAUGCCUCUUCAUCGCUUGCUUUGUUCUGGUGCUUACACAAAGCUCCAUCUUCAGCCUGCUGGCCAUUGCCUUGGACCGCUACGUCGCCAUCACCAUCCCACUGAGGUACAACAGCCUCGUGACAAGCCAGCGAGCCAAAGCCAUCAUUGCCGUGUGCUGGAUUCUCUCAGUGGUCAUCGGUUUGACUCCCAUGCUGGGCUGGAACAUGCGGUCCACAAUCAGCCCCAACAGUUCCUGCCCCUCCGGUAUGACAGAGUGCCUGUUUGAGAAGGUGGUCACAAUGGACUACAUGGUUUACUUCAACUUUUUUGGCUGCGUGCUCAUGCCACUGCUGGCCAUGCUGGUGAUCUAUGCCCGGAUCUUCAUGGCUGCCCGGGAGCAGCUCUGGCGGAUGGAGCAGAAGCUGUCGCUAGGUCACGGCCAUGUCGAUGGCUCCUCCUCUUCCCGCUCCAGGCUACAGAGGGAAGUGCACGCGGCCAAGUCACUGGCCAUCAUCGUGGGCCUCUUCGCACUGUGUUGGCUCCCCCUGCACAUCAUCAACUGCUUCACGCUUUUCUGCCCGCUCUGUGCCCGCCCUCCGGGCUGGAUCAUGUACUUGGCCAUUAUCCUCUCGCACGCCAACUCAGUGGUGAACCCAUUCAUUUACGCCUACCGCAUCCGGGACUUCCAGCACACAUUCCGCAGGAUCAUUGGGCAGCAUGUCCUGAGGCAGCGCAGCGGCUUGCUCAGCGGCAGCACUGCAGCUGGGAUCACCACCACUACCUCCGUUAGUGUUGUGGAUUCCUCAUUUGGCACCAUGGCCAACGGCAGCACACUGGGCCAUAGCCACCCUCGAGGUUGUCACCAUGGAAGUGUAAAUAAAACACCCUCCACGGGUAGCCAGUGGAAGCCCAGGUCAAACCACAUGGGUACAGACUGCAGGUCUGCUGGGCGUUGCCCUACAGAAGAAGCCUUUUCUGCCCAAUCAAAGCUUUGCUCAGUAGGCUGUUCUGAUUGGGCUGUUAAGGACAUUUCCUCUAGUGAGAGCAAUGCAGAAAUCAUGGUGGUAAAGCACUGUAGCAUUAAUACCAAUAUAAAUUUCAGCUCUUUUCCCACAAGGACCAGUUAUUCAGAUCAUGAUGUCACUAUUGUGGAAUUGAGGGUGACCUAAUUCUUGCUACUGUCUGGAACCAGAUAAGGCAAAGGUUUCCCAGUGCAAACAAAUAAAAAGGGCUCAACACGACCACCCAACGGAAAGCACUCAACAGAGCGGACUUUGAACCUCAUAGCAUUAAAAAAGGAUGUCAAGAAAAAAGCUACAUGGCUAGCUCUGGGGUGGGAAACAGCUGCACUAAAGCACUGCUUUUUGUAAAACGUGAUGCUUGCAUGAAAGGUGAAGUGAAAGCACACAUCCAAUGACAUGGACAUCUACUCAGAAAAGGUGGAGACCUUAACUUCUAUUUACAAACGGAAUAAAGGGAUGGAUGGAAGAGGCACCUGAAAAUGUUGAAUUGUUUUUGUACCUAUGCCUCAGUGGAUAAAGUGCUUAUUUGUCCUGCUUUAACGUUUACUACCCGAUCACCUAAAAUACAAGAUUAUGCAUUACAAUGCACAUUACAAAGAGAAGUAUAGAGCCAAAUGAGACUUCAGAAAAUGUGCUUUUUUAAUAAUAAUUUUAUUCAGCAUCUUCACAUUAUUUGCAUGGUGCAGGCAGAACUCAUUACAUAUGAUAGCACAAGUCAAACUGAAAUCAACCUGAACAUGAAUCUGUCUAAAAGAACAUUACUGCCCCUUUUUGCCCGACAUGUCUCUAGUCAUUUGUACUAAGAAUUCACCAUGCAGUGUAUAGAUGAAGUUUAGCUGUUUUCUUGAUGCUUUUUUUCAUGACUUUUAGACAGGGCAAAGAUGGCACUGUUAUUGCACACUGUGGCAGUAGACAGCUACAUCCUUUAAUGAGACAAAUGCCCUGUAUAAAGAGCUGUGGUCAGUGUAUCCCCAUUCAAGAAGUUUGCUCUGGUGUAAAUCAGACUAGGAUAAAGCUAACACGCUAUCAGUAAGCCACAUAGAUCAGCAGUUGCAGACAUAUUAAUUCAAGUGGUAAAAUGAUGUUUGGAGAUGUUGAGAGUUACUGUGUAAUCAACAGCCUGGCUCCUGAUCACAGCCUUUUAGACUGGCUUUGCGCAUGUUUGGCUGCAUGGAGGUUUGCUUCUCUUCUGUAGUUCUGGUGAAGGUAAACUUCAUUUGAUCCUUCAGAUGUAUAAACUUUCAUAAUUACAAGGUCAAUUUCAAGUUUCAGCACAGCUCCUGAAGCAGUCAUGAAACAAAUAUUCCAUCAUGAAGUGUAUUAUUAAAAAGCCCUCAUGUCUGAUUCCUUAAGUAGGCUUUAAAAUGCUAUGAAAAGGUUAGGCUUUAAAAUGCUAUGAAAAGGUCAGGUAAUGGAGAACAUUUCUGUUAUGGUGUUUACAGUUGUCAGGUAUGAUCAUAUUUCAACAAUUAUAGUGGAGGAAAUUUGGGAAAUAAAGUAGGGUUUGUACUGCUCUAGAAAUACAUGUCUUUUACAAUUUGUGCUUUACAUCAAUGCCAUGUUAGUUUUUACAAUACUGCAAAAUUAGAUAAUAAAUCUCGGUUCAUAUGCAUUAGUAAUAUUAUCUCUGUUUUGUCUUAAAGACAGAGGGAGUUACAAUGACCUGAGCCAGUCAACAUCUACAUUUCUCUGGCACUAGAUUGGCCAGGGUAAAAGACAUGCUCAGUGGUGUUCAAGUUAAAUCCUUCAAGAACAUUCCACUUUUUAGACCUCAAAAUCUAAAAGUUGGUUUAGUCAUAUAUUUUGGCUUAACAUACUGCUUCAUGGGGAAUGCCAUCCAUUUUAAGGCAUUUGAUUCACCACCAUCC